Molecule: ribosomal RNA, 744 nt
Filed under: uncultured bacterium
Lineage: Bacteria
Description: bacterial SSU rRNA
Rfam family: Bacterial small subunit ribosomal RNA
Source: RNAcentral
CGGAUUUAUAAGUCAGUGGUGAAAGCCUACAGCUUAACUGUAGAACUGCCAUUGAUACUGUAAGUCUUGAAUUCGGUCGAAGUGGGCGGAAUGUGUAGUGUAGCGGUGAAAUGCAUAGAUAUUACACAGAACACCGAUAGCGAAGGCAGCCCACUAGGCCUGGAUUGACGCUCAGGGACGAAAGCGUGGGGAUCAAACAGGAUUAGAUACCCUGGUAGUCCACGCUGUAAACGAUGAUUACUCGUUUUCGGCGAUAUACAGUCGGAGACUAAGCGAAAGUGAUAAGUAAUCCACCUGGGGAGUACGAUCGCAAGGUUGAAACUCAAAGGAAUUGACGGGGGCCCGCACAAGCGGUGGAGCAUGUGGUUUAAUUCGAUGAUACGCGAGGAACCUUACCAGGGCUUAAAUGUAGAUUGACCGUUUUGGAAACAGAACUUUCGCAAGACAAUUUACAAGGUGCUGCAUGGUUGUCGUCAGCUCGUGCCGUGAGGUGUCAGGUUAAGUCCUAUUACGAGCGCAACCCCUGUUGUUAGUUGCCAGCGAGUCAAGUCGGGAACUCUAACAAGACUGCCAGUGCAAACUGUGAGGAAGGUGGGGAUGACGUCAAAUCAUCACGGCCCUUACGCCUUGGGCUACACACGUGCUACAAUGGACGGUACAGAGAGCAGCCACUUCGCAAGGAGGAGCGAAUCUACAAAACCGUUCUCAGUUCGGAUCGGAGUCUGCAACUCGACUCCGUGAAGC